RNAcentral lists this ribosomal RNA (256 nucleotides) under uncultured bacterium. Its description in RNAcentral is "partial 16S ribosomal RNA". It matches the Rfam family "Bacterial small subunit ribosomal RNA", at positions 99 to 354 of the family's 1533-position model. The record is from RNAcentral.
CGGACGGGUGAGUAACGCGUGAGCAACCUGCCUUUCAGAGGGGGAUAACGUUUGGAAACGAACGCUAAUACCGCAUGAGACUACAGUACUACAUGGUACAGUGGCCAAAGGAGCAAUCCGCUGAAAGAUGGGCUCGCGUCCGAUUAGAUAGUUGGCGGGUAACGGCCCACCAAGUCGACGAUCGGUAGCCGGACUGAGAGGUUGAACGGCCACAUUGGGACUGAGACACGGCCCAGACUCCUACGGAAGGCAGCAG